This 253-nucleotide ribosomal RNA is filed under the name uncultured bacterium. Its description in RNAcentral is "partial 16S ribosomal RNA". It matches the Rfam family "Bacterial small subunit ribosomal RNA", at positions 524 to 776 of the family's 1533-position model. The record is from RNAcentral.
UACGUAGGGGGCAAGCGUUGUCCGGAUUUAUUGGGCGUAAAGAGCGUGUAGGCGGCCAGGCAGGUCCGUUGUGAAAACUCGAGGCUCAACCUCGAGACGUCGAUGGAAACCGUCUGGCUAGAGUCCGGAAGAGGAGAGUGGAAUUCCCGGUGUAGCGGUGAAAUGCGCAGAUAUCGGGAAGAACACCCGUGGCGAAGGCGGCUCUCUGGGGCGGUACUGACGCUGAGGCGCGAAAGCGUGGGGAGCGAACAGG